UUGUAUUUUCUUAGUUUGAGUCUUUGGUUGUGUUAUUAUAAAAUUAUGAGUUCUGUGUAUUCAAGUUGUUCAUGUACAAUAUUCUAUUUUUCAUGAUUAGGCUAGACUAGCAAAGGUCUUCACAAUGUGCUUUUUGGGAUUCCUUAUGGCUUCCAAGUAUGUCAACAUUUUGCCUGCUAGUGGAAGGAAACUUUUAAAUGGGGUAAUACUCGUCGACCCCAAAAUUUUGAGACUAAAGCUUGUUGUUGUUGUUGUUGUUGUUGUUGAAUAUGUCAUGCUGAUACUCACUUAUUAUUAACUUACUCUGCAACUUAGAUUUACCUAUCAGCAAAUUUGAGCACCAUAACUCAUUGUUCCCACUAUUUGUGUAAUGCAGUUGGUCUUUUUACUUUUACUUCCAUGUUUGAUAUUCUCUCAACUUGGUAAAGCUAUCACCAUUAAGAAAAUGCUUGAAUGAUGCUCGUUGAUGAUAUUGGAGAUGUGACAAUUACUAAUGAUGGUGCUACAAUACUGAAGAUGCUAUAAUUUUUUGAUGGCUUUUUGUGUACAAAGAACUACAUUUAAACAACCACAUUUUUUGGAAGUGUUGAAGGAUUUGUUUAAAUACUUUGGAACUUUGAUAAUGGUUAUAGACAAUGUUAUGUAUUUGAUAUGUUAAUAUAAUGUUAGUUUGGAGACA
Quercus robur (English oak) is the source of this 679-nucleotide long non-coding RNA. RefSeq lists it as uncharacterized. The transcript is spliced from 2 exons. Lineage: Eukaryota; Viridiplantae; Streptophyta; Magnoliopsida; Fagales; Fagaceae. The record is from RefSeq and is a predicted model, not a curated record.